RNAcentral lists this ribosomal RNA (253 nucleotides) under uncultured bacterium. RNAcentral describes it as "partial 16S ribosomal RNA". It matches the Rfam family "Bacterial small subunit ribosomal RNA", at positions 524 to 776 of the family's 1533-position model. The record is from RNAcentral.
GACGAACCGUGCGAACGUUGUUCGGAAUCACUGGGCUUAAAGGGCGCGUAGGCGGGCUGUCAAGUCUGGGGUGAAAUCCCACGGCUCAACCGUGGAACUGCCUUAGAUACUGACGGCCUCGAGGAAGGUAGGGGCAUGCGGAACUGUAGGUGGAGCGGUGAAACGCGUUGAUAUCUACAGGAACUCCGGUGGCGAAAGCGGCGUGCUGGACCUUUUCUGACGCUGAGGCGCGAAAGCUAGGGGAGCAAACGGG